CUACGUGCCAGCAGCCGCGGUAAUACGUAGGGUGCGAGCGUUAAUCGGAAUUACUGGGCGUAAAGCGAGCGCAGACGGUUACUUAAGCAGGAUGUGAAAUCCCCGGGCUCAACCUGGGAACUGCGUUCUGAACUGGGUGACUAGAGUGUGUCAGAGGGAGGUAGAAUUCCACGUGUAGCAGUGAAAUGCGUAGAGAUGUGGAGGAAUACCGAUGGCGAAGGCAGCCUCCUGGGAUAACACUGACGUUCAUGCUCGAAAGCGUGGGUAGCAAACAGGAUUAGAUACCCUGGUAGUCCACGCCCUAAACGAUGUCAAUUAGCUGUUGGGCAACUUGAUUGCUUAGUAGCGUAGCUAACGCGUGAAAUUGACCGCCUGGGGAGUACGGUCGCAAGAUUAAAACUCAAAGGAAUUGACGGGGACCCGCACAAGCGGUGGAUGAUGUGGAUUAAUUCGAAGCAACGCGAAGAACCUUACCAGGUCUUGACAUCCCUCUGACCGCUCUAGAGAUAGAGUUUUC
Molecule: ribosomal RNA, 517 nt
Filed under: uncultured bacterium
Lineage: Bacteria
Description: bacterial SSU rRNA
Rfam family: Bacterial small subunit ribosomal RNA
Source: RNAcentral